GUUUUGGUUUUUUUUUG
This 17-nucleotide small RNA is filed under the name Arabidopsis thaliana (thale cress). Its description in RNAcentral is "ATSL130390". Lineage: Eukaryota; Viridiplantae; Streptophyta; Magnoliopsida; Brassicales; Brassicaceae. The record is from RNAcentral.